GAUGAACGCUGGCGGCGUGCUUAACACAUGCAAGUCGAGCGAGAAGUUUUGAACAGAUUCUUCGGAUGAAAUUUAAAAUGGAAAGCGGCGGACGGGUGAGUAACGCGUAGGCAACCUGCCCCAUACAAAGGGAUAGCAUUUGGAAACGAAUAUUGAUACCUUAUGAAACUUAACUAGUGCAUGCUAGGUAGGUCAAAGAUUUAUCGGUAUGGGAUGGGCCUGCGUCUGAUUAGCUAGUUGGUGAGGUAACGGCUCACCAAGGCGACGAUCAGUAGCCGACCUGAGAGGGUGAACGGCCACAUUGGAACUGAGACACGGUCCAAACUCCUACGGGAGGCAGCAGUGGGGAAUAUUGCACAAUGGGGGAAACCCUGAUGCAGCAACGCCGCGUGAACGAUGAAGGCCUUUGGGUCGUAAAGUUCUGUUCUAGGUGAUGAAAACUGACAGUAACCUAGGAGAAAGCCCCGGCUAACUCCGUG
This 479-nucleotide ribosomal RNA is filed under the name uncultured bacterium. RNAcentral's name for it is "partial 16S ribosomal RNA". It matches the Rfam family "Bacterial small subunit ribosomal RNA", at positions 28 to 507 of the family's 1533-position model. The record is from RNAcentral.